RNAcentral lists this ribosomal RNA (468 nucleotides) under uncultured bacterium. RNAcentral describes it as "partial 16S ribosomal RNA". It matches the Rfam family "Bacterial small subunit ribosomal RNA", at positions 28 to 507 of the family's 1533-position model. The record is from RNAcentral.
GACGAACGCUGGCGGCGUGCUUAACACAUGCAAGUCGAACGGAAAGGCCCUGCUUUUGUGGGGUGCUCGAGUGGCGAACGGGUGAGUAACACGUGAGUAACCUGCCCUUGACUUUGGGAUAACUUCAGGAAACUGGGGCUAAUACCGGAUAGGAGCUCCUGCUGCAUGGUGGGGGUUGGAAAGUUUCGGCGGUUGGGGAUGGACUCGCGGCUUAUCAGCUUGUUGGUGGGGUAGUGGCUUACCAAGGCUUUGACGGGUAGCCGGCCUGAGAGGGUGGCCGGCCACAUUGCGCCUGCGAUACGGCCCAGACGCCUACGGGAGGCAGCAGUGGGGAAUAUUGCACAAUGGGCGGAAGCCUGAUGCAGCAACGCCGCGUGCGGGAUGACGGCCUUCGGGUUGUAAACCGCUUUCGCCUGUGACGAAGCGGGAGUGACGGUAAUGGGUAAAGAAGCACCGGCUAACUACGUG